CUUCUUAUUUUCCCUUACUUCAUGUGCAUAGUGCAUUGCCAUUUUGUCACAAUUCACAGCUUUGCGUAUGCCCUACCUAUGCCUAAGCAAGGGCUUGCGGACCCCACCCUGCCAAUCGAUGGGCGUUGCAAGGAUUCGGCCGGCACUCGGCAACGCGGUGACGACCAACAGCUUACCGAGGAAUAGUAGUAAUUCAAUGAGGCUGACUUGCCGACUAGUCAGACUGUACAAUGGAGUCAGCAGGAGCGACAGCUUUGCAAGGCCAAAGUCUGAAAUCUUUGGAUUGAAGCUGCAGUCAAGCAAGAUGUUGUGAGGUUUGAUGUCGAAGUGGAGGAUGCGCUGAUUGCCCCCUUGAUGCAGAAUGCUUGCCUCCGUUGUGAGCUGAAUCCACAGUGAUGCCCUUUUUGCUCGCAUUCUAUACAAAUGUUGGCAAUGUCAGGAAUCGACCAACUCAACGUUGCCUCAGCAGAUGUGAUGAUUCUUUUGGCCCUUUUG
Long non-coding RNA from Brachypodium distachyon (stiff brome), 495 nucleotides. RefSeq lists it as uncharacterized. The record is from RefSeq and is a predicted model, not a curated record. NCBI's taxonomy places the organism in Eukaryota, Viridiplantae, Streptophyta, Magnoliopsida, Poales, Poaceae. The transcript is spliced from 3 exons.